This 164-nucleotide ribosomal RNA is filed under the name Canavalia macropleura. Its description in RNAcentral is "5.8S ribosomal RNA". It matches the Rfam family "5.8S ribosomal RNA". From Rfam's summary of the family: 5.8S ribosomal RNA (5.8S rRNA) is a component of the large subunit of the eukaryotic ribosome. It is transcribed by RNA polymerase I as part of the 45S precursor that also contains 18S and 28S rRNA. Functionally, it is thought that 5.8S rRNA may be involved in ribosome translocation. Lineage: Eukaryota; Viridiplantae; Streptophyta; Magnoliopsida; Fabales; Fabaceae. The record is from RNAcentral.
AAAAUGACUCUCGGCAACGGAUAUCUCGGCUCUUGCAUCGAUGAAGAACGUAGCAAAAUGCGAUACUUGGUGUGAAUUGCAGAAUCCCGUGAACCAUCGAGUCUUUGAACGCAAGUUGCGCCCAAAGCCAUUAGGUUGAGGGCACGCCUGCCUGGGUGUCACAC